RNAcentral lists this ribosomal RNA (253 nucleotides) under uncultured bacterium. RNAcentral's name for it is "partial 16S ribosomal RNA". It matches the Rfam family "Bacterial small subunit ribosomal RNA", at positions 524 to 776 of the family's 1533-position model. The record is from RNAcentral.
UACGGGGGGGGCAAGCGUUGUUCGGAAUUACUGGGCGUAAAGGGCUCGUAGGCGGCCAACUAAGUCAGACGUGAAAUCCCUCGGCUUAACCGGGGAACUGCGUCUGAUACUGGAUGGCUUGAGUGUGGGAGAGGGAUGCGGAAUUCCAGGUGUAGCGGUGAAAUGCGUAGAUAUCUGGAGGAACACCGGUGGCGAAGGCGGCAUCCUGGACCACGACUGACGCUGAGGAGCGAAAGCCAGGGGAGCAAACGGG